RNAcentral lists this ribosomal RNA (301 nucleotides) under uncultured bacterium. Its description in RNAcentral is "partial 16S ribosomal RNA". It matches the Rfam family "Bacterial small subunit ribosomal RNA", at positions 509 to 808 of the family's 1533-position model. The record is from RNAcentral.
CAGUAGCCGCGGUAUACGUAGGGUGCAAGCGUUAAUCGGAAUUACUGGGCGUAAAGCGUGCGCAGGCGGUCCGUUAAGACAGAUGUGAAAUCCCCGGGCUUAACCUGGGAACUGCAUUUGUGACUGGCGGGCUAGAGUAUGGCAGAGGGGGGUAGAAUUCCACGUGUAGCAGUGAAAUGCGUAGAGAUGUGGAGGAAUACCGAUGGCGAAGGCAGCCCCCUGGGCCAAUACUGACGCUCAUGCACGAAAGCGUGGGGAGCAAACAGGAUUAGAUACCCCUGUAGUCCCUGUCUCUUAUACA